This 253-nucleotide ribosomal RNA is filed under the name uncultured bacterium. RNAcentral's name for it is "partial 16S ribosomal RNA". It matches the Rfam family "Bacterial small subunit ribosomal RNA", at positions 524 to 776 of the family's 1533-position model. The record is from RNAcentral.
GACGUAGGGCGCGAGCGUUGUCCGGAUUUAUUGGGCGUAAAGAGCUCGUAGGCGGCUUGUCGCGUCGUGUGUGAAAUCUCAGGGCUCAACUCUGACAUUGCAUACGAUACGGGCAGGCUUGAGUUCGGUAGGGGAGACUGGAAUUCCUGGUGUAGCGGUGGAAUGCGUAGAGAUCCGGAAGAACACCGGAGGCGAAGGCGGCUUGCUGGGCAUGGUCUGACGCUGAGGCGCGAAAGCGUGGGGAGCGAACAGG